Long non-coding RNA from Xenia sp. Carnegie-2017, 431 nucleotides. RefSeq lists it as uncharacterized. The record is from RefSeq and is a predicted model, not a curated record. Lineage: Eukaryota; Metazoa; Cnidaria; Anthozoa; Malacalcyonacea; Xeniidae. The transcript has 4 exons.
UGAUUGUUUAAGUACAGCCUAUCAAGAUCGUUGAUACCAAAAUAAAUACUUAAAUCAAUUUGGUGGUGGUAAUCAAUAUGCAUAUUAUCACGAAGAAGAUGAAUCAACUUUCCAUCUUGUUGACACAAGUUGACCACAAAAGCCUGUUUACAUGCGCAAUAGGAACAAAUUCAGUCAGAGAAAUAAUUGACGUGAUAAAGAGCGUCAGAUGCCACGUCAACAAGCUGGGAUGCAGAAUUUGCUGAAGACUCGUGACAACAGACUCCUUCGUAAAUUGCAGAAACAAUUUGCCUACAGAAACAACUGGCAGGAGCGUAGAAAUCAGAUCACGAUUCUUGUCUCAACAAUUGUUCGAAAGAGAAGUCACUUUUAACCAACGAUUUAUGAUGGUAAGAUUUUUACAUCAACAAAAUAAACUCAUGAGAAAGUUA